ACGGGAGGCAGCAGUGGGGAAUAUUGCGCAAUGGGGGAAACCCUGACGCAGCAACGCCGCGUGCAGGAAGAAGGUCUUCGGAUUGUAAACUGUUGUCGCAAGGGAAGAAGAAAGUGACGGUACCUUGUGAGAAAGUCACGGCUAACUACGUGCCAGCAGCCGCGGUAAUACGUAGGUGACAAGCGUUGUCCGGAUUUACUGGGUGUAAAGGGCGCGUAGGCGGGCUAGCAAGUCAGGAGUGAAAUACCGGGGCUCAACUCCGGAGCUGCUUUUGAAACUGUUAGUCUUGAGUAUCGGAGAGGAAAGCGGAAUUCCCAGUGUAGCGGUGAAAUGCGUAGAUAUUGGGAGGAACACCAGUGGCGAAGGCGGCUUUCUGGACGACAACUGACGCUGAGGCGCGAAAGUGUGGGGAGCAAACAGGAUUAGAUACCCUGGUA
RNAcentral lists this ribosomal RNA (437 nucleotides) under uncultured Oscillospiraceae bacterium. RNAcentral describes it as "bacterial SSU rRNA". It matches the Rfam family "Bacterial small subunit ribosomal RNA", at positions 341 to 792 of the family's 1533-position model. Lineage: Bacteria; Bacillati; Bacillota; Clostridia; Eubacteriales; Oscillospiraceae. The record is from RNAcentral.